UUAAGCCAUGCAAGUCGAACGAGUUUAGGCUCGUGGCGUACGGCUCAGUAACACGUGGAUAACCUACCCUUAGGACCGGGAUAACCUUGGGAAACUGAGGAUAAUACUGGAUAGGCAAUUAUUCCUGCAAUGGUUUUUUGUUUAAAUGUUUUUUCGCCUAAGGAUGGGUCUGCGGCCGAUUAGGUAGUUGGUUAGGUAAUGGCUUACCAAGCCGUUGAUCGGUACGGGUUGUGAGAGCAAGAGCCCGGAGAUGGAACCUGAGACAAGGUUCCAGGCCCUACGGGGUGCAGCAGGCGCGAAACCUCCGCAAUGUGAGAAAUCGCGACGGGGGGAUCCCAAGUGCCAUUCUUAACGGGAUGGCUUUUCAUUAGUGUAAAGAGCUUUUGGAAUAAGGGCUGGGCAAGACCGGUGCCAGCCGCCGCGGUAACACCGGCAGCUCUAGUGGUAGCAGUUUUUAUUGGGCCUAAAGCGUCCGUAGCCGGUUUAAUAAGUCUCUGGUGAAAUCCUGUAGCUUAACUGUGGGAAUUGCUGGAGAUACUAUUAGACUUGAGACCGGGAGAGGUUAGAGGUACUCCCAGGGUAGAGGUGAAAUUCUGUAAUCCUGGGAGGACCGCCUGUUGCGAAGGCGUCUAACUGGAACGGUUCUGACGGUGAGGGACGAAAGUUAGGGGCGCGAACCGGAUUAGAUACCCGGGUAGUCCUAACCGUAAACGAUGCGGACUUGGUGUUGGGGUGGCUUUGAGCUGCUCCAGUGCCGAAGGGAAGCUGUUAAGUCCACCGCCUGGGAAGUACGGUCGCAAGACUGAAACUUAAAGGAAUUGGCGGGGGAGCACCACAACGCGUGGAGCCUGCGGUUUAAUUGGAAUCAACGCCGGACAUCUCACCAGGAGCGACAGGCCGUAUGAUAGCCAGGUUGAUGACCUUGCUUGACAAGCUGAGAGGAGGUGCAUGG
Molecule: ribosomal RNA, 952 nt
Filed under: uncultured Methanobrevibacter sp.
Lineage: Archaea; Methanobacteriati; Methanobacteriota; Methanobacteria; Methanobacteriales; Methanobacteriaceae
Description: bacterial SSU rRNA
Rfam family: Archaeal small subunit ribosomal RNA
Source: RNAcentral